Molecule: small nucleolar RNA, 105 nt
Organism: Rhododendron vialii
Lineage: Eukaryota; Viridiplantae; Streptophyta; Magnoliopsida; Ericales; Ericaceae
Product: small nucleolar RNA snoR100
Exons: 1
Source: RefSeq, a predicted model, not a curated record
ACAGAGUUGGAGUAUGGUAUUGUGCAUACAAAUUGAAUUGGUUCUCUAGGCCAGCCCCUAAUGCCUUUUGGCUUUGAUAUUGGGGCAUGGUUCCGCAACAAAACA